UGAACGCUAGCUACAGGCUUAACACAUGCAAGUCGAGGGGCAGCACAGAGAUAGCUUGCUAUCUUGGGUGGCGACCGGCGCACGGGUGAGUAACGCGUAUCCAACCUGCCCAUUACUCAGGGAUAGCCUUGCGAAAGUAAGAUUAAUACCUGAUGUUGUUAAAAACCCGCAUGAGUUUUUAACCAAAGAUUUAUUGGUAAUGGAUGGGGAUGCGUGACAUUAGGUAGUAGGUGAGGUAACGGCUCACCUAGCCGACGAUGUCUAGGGGUUCUGAGAGGAAGGUCCCCCACACUGGAACUGAGACACGGACCAGACUCCUACGGGAGGCAGCAGUGAGGAAUAUUGGUCAAUGGACGCAAGUCUGAACCAGCCAUGCCGCGUGCAGGAUGACGGCUCUAUGAGUUGUAAACUGCUUUUGUACAAGGGUAAACCCCGAUACGUGUAUCGGGCUGAAAGUACUGUACGAAUAAGGAUCGGCUAACUCCGUG
Molecule: ribosomal RNA, 488 nt
Filed under: uncultured bacterium
Lineage: Bacteria
Description: bacterial SSU rRNA
Rfam family: Bacterial small subunit ribosomal RNA
Source: RNAcentral